RNAcentral lists this ribosomal RNA (756 nucleotides) under uncultured Mycoplasma sp. RNAcentral's name for it is "bacterial SSU rRNA". It matches the Rfam family "Bacterial small subunit ribosomal RNA", at positions 28 to 776 of the family's 1533-position model. The record is from RNAcentral. Lineage: Bacteria; Bacillati; Mycoplasmatota; Mollicutes; Mycoplasmatales; Mycoplasmataceae.
GAUGAACGCUCGCUGUGUGCCUAAUACAUGCAUGUUGAACGGGAUGUAGCAAUACAUUCAGUAGCGAAUGGGUGAGUAACACGUACCUAACCUACCUUUAAGACUGGGAUAACUAUUGGAAACAAUAGCUAAUACCGGAUAUAGUUAUUUAUCGCAUGAUGAGUAAUAGAAAGGAGCUUCACAGCUUCACUUAAAAAUGGGGGUGCGGAACAUUAGUUAGUUGGUAGGGUAAUGGCCUACCAAGACGAUGAUGUUUAGCCGGGCCGAGAGGCUGUACGGCCACACUGGGACUGAGAUACGGCCCAGACUCCUACGGGAGGCAGCAGUAAGGAAUUUUCCACAAUGAGCGAAAGCUUGAUGGAGCGACACAGCGUGCAGGAUGAAGUUCUUCGGAAUGUAAACUGCUGUUAUAAGGGAAGAAAAAAUAGAAUAGGAAAUGAUUUUAUCUUGACGGUACCUUAUUAGAAAGCGACGGCAAACUAUGUGCCAGCAGCUGCGGUAAUACAUAGGUCGCAAGCGUUAUCCGGAAUUAUUGGGCGUAAAGCGUCCGUAGGUUUUUUGCUAAGUCUGGAGUUAAAUGCUGAAGCUCAACUUCAGUCCGCUUUGGAUACUGGCAAAAUAGAAUUAUAAAGAGGUUAGCGGAAUUCCUAGUGAAGCGGUGGAAUGCGUAGAUAUUAGGAAGAGCACCAAUAGGCGAAGGCAGCUAACUGGUUAUAUAUUGACACUAAGGGACGAAAGCGUGGGGGAGCAAGCAGG